GGAUCUAGUGCAUGUUGGAAGA
This 22-nucleotide non-coding RNA is filed under the name Arabidopsis thaliana (thale cress). Lineage: Eukaryota; Viridiplantae; Streptophyta; Magnoliopsida; Brassicales; Brassicaceae. The record is from RNAcentral.